Molecule: long non-coding RNA, 1185 nt
Organism: Gadus macrocephalus (Pacific cod)
Lineage: Eukaryota; Metazoa; Chordata; Actinopteri; Gadiformes; Gadidae
Exons: 2
Source: RefSeq, a predicted model, not a curated record
GACAUAGGCUGUGUCCCAAUUCCUAGGACGCAUCCUUCGAAGGCUGCAUUCGAAGGAUGCGUCGAUGCAGAUUGCGUCACAGCGACGCGCCAAGUGCUGUCCCAAUUCCAAGGGUCCUUCAAAUGCGGCCUACGAAUGCAGCCUUCUUUUCCCGGAUUUGAAGGAUGCAUCGGCUGUAUCCUUCACGGCCCAACGUAUCCCAAGAUCCUUCACGGCCCAACGUAUCCCUCCCAAGAUUCAUUGCGCACUCAAUCAAUGGAGAUGGCAGAGAAUGGCGAUUUAAGUUCUGCAUUUAAAUGAUUGCAAGUAUCCAGGGUCAGGAGAGGGGGUAGGUGGGAAACCCUCUGCUGCCACUUGGCCCUGGUUUGUCCCCAUGGAUAAGGUAUUGGAUUGGGACAGAGGCAUUCCACCAACCCCCCUGUCCUAAUUGCCUCCAUCCCUGAGAACACACCAGGGCCAAGUACAGCAGUGGUGGAUCAGGAGGUUGAGGACAAGGAUCAGGAGGAGGAAAGACAGCGAGGGCCAAGGUCCAGAAAGAGGGACAGAGAGGAAGACAUGUUCCAGAGUCGCUCACUAUCUUCCGAAAAGGACUCAAGAUUCACCUGUUCAGAAUCCACCUCGACUGCAUAGCCACCCUCCCCCUUCUGGCAACCAUUGUACACUGUGUUGUAUUGUAUUGUAUUAUAGUACUUAACUGUGUAGCAACUGCAGUAGCUGCUAUCAUGGCUGUAACACGGGGCCUAGCGAUUGUGGUACUUGCACUUGGUUCUAUGAACAUCCUUUCUGUACCGACAGCGAUAUAUUGAUGCACUUCUUAUGACAAAUGUACUUAUUGUAAGUCGCUUUGGAUAAAAGCGUCUGCUAAAUGUAAAAUGUAAAUGUUCCAGUUAAUAAAAGAGGACAUGAGGCUACAAAGGGAGGCAGAGGAGAGAAGAGCCCAGGAAAGCAGGGAAAGAAUGGAUAGGUUUUUCUAAAUUUUGGAGCGUUUGGUGGACAACUUAUGUUCUGUUAUAUUUAACACAUUGUUUAUUAUUAUUUACAUAUUUAUUGAAACUAACUUAUUUAACUAACUUUUUUGAUUAACUAUUUAUUAAAACCCUUACUAACUUUUUUGUAUUGACUAAUGUAUUCGUAUAUAACUUAUAAAACAUAUAUACAACAAUAAAACUAUUUACAACAAACAUU